UUUUAAUUUUAUUUAUUUUUACUAUUAAAAAUUGACAUGAUUAACAGAAUAAUCAGAUAAUUACAUGUGGUGUGUUAUAUGUACCUUACACUAACCUAUAGAGAUUAGUUUUUAAUAGUAAAAAAUAGAUGAAAUUUUUAACA
Molecule: non-coding RNA, 143 nt
Organism: Gossypium hirsutum (cotton)
Lineage: Eukaryota; Viridiplantae; Streptophyta; Magnoliopsida; Malvales; Malvaceae
Source: Rfam